This is a non-coding RNA of Myodes glareolus (Bank vole), 1157 nucleotides long. The record is from RefSeq and is a predicted model, not a curated record. Lineage: Eukaryota; Metazoa; Chordata; Mammalia; Rodentia; Cricetidae.
AUGUUUUUCUGCUUUGAAGUGCGCACACAGUCAUUCGGUCAACAAGUCAUUUAACUGAGUGGCAUGGUGGGAAGCAGGAGCGGUUCCUGUGUCCACAGACAAAGCACUCCACCUGUUGGAACUGGCUUUUGCAUUAAGAAACUAGGCUUGAAAUGUUCAUAAAGCCGAGUUCUUGGACAAACGAGACGAUAUCUAUCUGUUAACAGGUUCUUGGAUGUGGAUGGCAGCAGGUCUUUCUAGUUUGCCUCUUGGACCUCCUAAAACAAGACAUGGCGCUCACUUUCUGAGAAUAUCAAUUUGUUUAAUGCCCAUGAGCUACAGAGCCCAAAGUCCACUGAGUGGAGCUGUACACAGACAGACACCUACAAUGAAGGGCAAUGAACGCAAGCCACAGAAUCUUGCACAAGGUAGUUGGAAAGAGCAAACAAGGACCCCUGCCAACACAGAGGUGUCCGAGGAAGGCUUCUCGGAGGAGGUGGGACUGUGGCUGGCUUCACAGGCUGAAUAAAUAUCAUGGGGAAAGGACCGUCCUGGGCAAAGUCAUAGAAGGUUGGUACGGUUUCUCAUGACUGAGGAGUGAGCUGCAAAACCAUCAAGGGAAUUUGGUAAGCUGACUUGAAAUUUGAUCAUUCUUUUCAGCAAAUUGAUUGUUUCCAAUAGUAGAAAUCGAUGUUUCCAGAAUAAAAAUAGAAAAAUGCUGUAAUGUUUUCUGCGACAAAAACUGUAAAAUUUGCAACAGUUCCUUGAACAAGCAAUGGCUUACUUGAACAGUAUGAGUCAACAGCAAUAAAUUCUUAAAGGACACAAGGCAAAAUCUGUCUAACUAGAACUGUGGUGGGUUGAAUGAUAGACGUCAGAGAUUUGAAUGUCUGAUCCCCAAUGGGUGGUGCUGUUUGGGGAGGCUUAGGAAGUGUGACCUUAGUGGAAAAAGCAUGUCAGGGCCAGGUUUGAGUAUCAGAUCCUGUGUCAGUUCCAGUGUCUGAGUUUAAGACUUGAACUCUCAGCCUCCAGCUCUAGCAACCAUAUCUGCUGCCAGCUGCCAUGUUGUCCCCAUCACUAUAGACCCUAACCCUACUGAACUGUAAACACAAGUAGACCAUUUCUUCUCUGUUUGCCUUGGUCAUGUGUUUUAUCAGAGCAUAGAGAAGUAACUAAGA